CCUACGGGAGGCAGCAGUGGGGAAUAUUGCGCAAUGGGCGAAAGCCUGACGCAGCGACGCCGCGUGAGGGAUGAAGGUCUUCGGAUCGUAAACCUCUGUCAGCCGGGAAGCACGGUCACUGUGCUAAUCAGCAGUGAAUUGACGGUACCUGCAAAGGAAGCACCGGCUAACUCCGUGCCAGCAGCCGCGGUCAUACGGAGGGUGCGUGCGUUAAUCGGAAUUACUGGGCGUAAAGCGCUCGUAGGCGGUAGGUCAAGUCAAGGGGGAAAUCCCCGCGCUCAACGUGGGAACUGCCGUUGAAACUGGCAAACUGGAGUGUGUGAGAGGAUAGUGGAAUGCCAGGUGUAGGAGUGAAAUCCGUAGAUAUCUGGAGGAACAUCAGUGGCGAAGGCGACUAUCUGGCACAUAACUGACGCUGAGGAGCGAAAGCGUGGGUAGCAAACAGGAUUAGAUACCCGAGUAGUC
Molecule: ribosomal RNA, 465 nt
Filed under: uncultured bacterium
Lineage: Bacteria
Description: partial 16S ribosomal RNA
Rfam family: Bacterial small subunit ribosomal RNA
Source: RNAcentral